RNAcentral lists this ribosomal RNA (870 nucleotides) under uncultured Limnohabitans sp. RNAcentral describes it as "bacterial SSU rRNA". It matches the Rfam family "Bacterial small subunit ribosomal RNA", at positions 8 to 878 of the family's 1533-position model. Lineage: Bacteria; Pseudomonadati; Pseudomonadota; Betaproteobacteria; Burkholderiales; Comamonadaceae. The record is from RNAcentral.
AGAGUUUGAUCAUGGCUCAGAUUGAACGCUGGCGGAAUGCUUUACACAUGCAAGUCGAACGGUAGAGGGGGCAACCCCUUGAGAGUGGCGAACGGGUGAGUAAUAUAUCGGAACGUGCCCAGUCGUGGGGGAUGACGUAGCGAAAGUUACGCUAAUACCGCAUACGAUCUAAGGAUGAAAGCGGGGGAUCGCAAGACCUCGCGCGAUUGGAGCGGCCGAUAUCAGAUUAGGUAGUUGGUGGGGUAAAGGCUCACCAAGCCAACGAUCUGUAGCUGGUCUGAGAGGACGACCAGCCACACUGGAACUGAGACACGGUCCAGACUCCUACGGGAGGCAGCAGUGGGGAAUUUUGGACAAUGGACGCAAGUCUGAUCCAGCCAUUCCGCGUGCAGGAUGAAGGCCCUCGGGUUGUAAACUGCUUUUGUACGGAACGAAAAGGUUUGUCUUAAUACGAUGAGCUCAUAACGGUACCGUAAGAAUAAGCACCGGCUAACUACGUGCCAGCAGCCGCGGUAAUACGUAGGGUGCAAGCGUUAAUCGGAAUUACUGGGCGUAAAGCGUGCGCAGGCGGUUAUGUAAGACAGAGGUGAAAUCCCCGGGCUCAACCUGGGAACUGCCUUUGUGACUGCAUAGCUAGAGUACGGUAGAGGGGGAUGGAAUUCCGCGUGUAGCAGUGAAAUGCGUAGAUAUGCGGAGGAACACCGAUGGCGAAGGCAAUCCCCUGGACCUGUACUGACGCUCAUGCACGAAAGCGUGGGGAGCAAACAGGAUUAGAUACCCUGGUAGUCCACGCCCUAAACGAUGUCAACUGGUUGUUGGGUCUUCACUGACUCAGUAACGAAGCUAACGCGUGAAGUUGACCGCCUGGGG